This 598-nucleotide ribosomal RNA is filed under the name Cocleimonas sp. I14B-00952. RNAcentral's name for it is "bacterial SSU rRNA". It matches the Rfam family "Bacterial small subunit ribosomal RNA", at positions 95 to 687 of the family's 1533-position model. The record is from RNAcentral. Lineage: Bacteria; Pseudomonadati; Pseudomonadota; Gammaproteobacteria; Thiotrichales; Thiotrichaceae.
GUGGCGGACGGGUGAGUAACGCGUGGGAAUCUACCCAGUAGUGGAGGACAGCCAGGAGAAAUCCUGAUUAAUACUGCAUACGAUCUACGGAUGAAAGAUGGCCUCUAUUUAUAAGCUAUCGCUAUUGGAUGAGCCCGCGUUAGAUUAGCUAGUUGGUGGGGUAAGAGCCUACCAAGGCGACGAUCUAUAGCUGGUCUGAGAGGACGACCAGCCACAUCGGGACUGAGACACGGCCCGGACUCCUACGGGAGGCAGCAGUGGGGAAUAUUGGACAAUGGGCGCAAGCCUGAUCCAGCAAUGCCGCGUGUGUGAAGAAGGCCCUAGGGUUGUAAAGCACUUUCAAUUGUGAAGAAGAGUAUAAGAUUAAUACUCUUGUACUUUGACGUUAACUUUAGAAGAAGCACCGGCUAACUCUGUGCCAGCAGCCGCGGUAAUACAGAGGGUGCAAGCGUUAAUCGGAAUUACUGGGCGUAAAGCGCGCGUAGGCGGUUAUUUAAGUCAGAUGUGAAAUCCCAGGGCUCAACCUUGGAACUGCAUCUGAUACUGAGUAACUAGAGUUUGGGAGAGGGAAGUAGAAUUUCAGGUGUAGCGGUGAAAU